This 237-nucleotide long non-coding RNA is filed under the name Setaria italica (foxtail millet). RNAcentral's name for it is "long non-coding RNA (SITA_LNC006612)". The record is from RNAcentral. Lineage: Eukaryota; Viridiplantae; Streptophyta; Magnoliopsida; Poales; Poaceae.
UCCAGCAUACUUCCGCUGAUCUAUAUCCAAAUUUCCCAAAAAUAAUCCUUCUACCUAUUUUCCGUUCACGUUUCCUGUUCGGAGCUCACGGUUAAAAAUCGUUUUCUCUUUUAUUUAUUCGUGUGCCUGUUUGUGUGUGCCGUAGAUCGCGGAUUGCCCGAGGAAGAGCCCGAGGAGGAGUUUGAUCGCGAGCCCGAGCCUGAGGACCAGUACCGCGAGCCGGAACUCCCGGAAGGC